AUCGGUGCACAACAUUCAAUAAUCAAAUAUAUAGAUCAUGCCAAGUAUUUCUACUCUAUUGUGCUAACUUGAUAUUCUAAUGAACAAUCAGUCUCUCAAUUCAAUCAUUCAUCAUAAAUCAAUAAAUAGGUGAUCAAUAUAUUUAUGCAUGAAGCUGCAAGCUAACAUAUAGGGAUUAAGAAAAAGGACUUUCAUAGAUUAAAUAAAGAAAUCACAAAAUAUCUGUAACACCCAAAACUUUUUAUUUUAUUAUUAUUGGAAUUUUGUUUGAUCUUAUUUUAUUUUAAUGAUUAACUUAU
Molecule: long non-coding RNA, 299 nt
Filed under: Carica papaya (papaya)
Lineage: Eukaryota; Viridiplantae; Streptophyta; Magnoliopsida; Brassicales; Caricaceae
Description: long non-coding RNA (CPAP_LNC006715)
Source: RNAcentral